UCCGCGGUAGCUCAGUUGGUAGAGCAUUCGACUGUUAAUCGAAUGGUCCUUGGUUCGAGUCCAAGCCGCGGAGCCA
Molecule: transfer RNA, 76 nt
Filed under: Devosia insulae DS-56
Lineage: Bacteria; Pseudomonadati; Pseudomonadota; Alphaproteobacteria; Hyphomicrobiales; Devosiaceae
Also listed under: 11 other names
Description: tRNA-Asn
Rfam family: tRNA
About the family: Transfer RNA (tRNA) molecules are approximately 80 nucleotides in length. Their secondary structure includes four short double-helical elements and three loops (D, anti-codon, and T loops). Further hydrogen bonds mediate the characteristic L-shaped molecular structure. tRNAs have two regions of fundamental functional importance: the anti-codon, which is responsible for specific mRNA codon recognition, and the 3' end, to which the tRNAs corresponding amino acid is attached (by aminoacyl-tRNA synthetases). tRNAs cope with the degeneracy of the genetic code in two manners: having more than one tRNA (with a specific anti-codon) for a particular amino acid; and 'wobble' base-pairing, i.e. permitting non-standard base-pairing at the 3rd anti-codon position.
Source: RNAcentral